RNAcentral lists this ribosomal RNA (253 nucleotides) under uncultured bacterium. RNAcentral describes it as "partial 16S ribosomal RNA". It matches the Rfam family "Bacterial small subunit ribosomal RNA", at positions 524 to 776 of the family's 1533-position model. The record is from RNAcentral.
UACGUAGGUGGCAAGCGUUAUCCGGAAUUAUUGGGCGUAAAGAGCGCGCAGGUGGUUAAUUAAGUCUGAUGUGAAAGCCCACGGCUUAACCGUGGAGGGUCAUUGGAAACUGGUUGACUUGAGUGCAGAAGAGGGAAGUGGAAUUCCAUGUGUAGCGGUGAAAUGCGUAGAGAUAUGGAGGAACACCAGUUGCGAAGGCGGCUCUCUGGACUGUAACUGACACUGAGGCACGAAAGCGUGGGGAGCAAACAGG